Molecule: ribosomal RNA, 406 nt
Filed under: uncultured bacterium
Lineage: Bacteria
Description: partial 16S ribosomal RNA
Rfam family: Bacterial small subunit ribosomal RNA
Source: RNAcentral
AUUGAACGCUGGCGGCAGGCCUAACACAUGCAAGUCGAACGAGUGGCGGACGGGUGAGUAAUGUAUGGGAAACUGCCUGAUAGAGGGGGAUAACUACUGGAAACGGUAGCUAAUACCGCAUACCAUCGGAUGUGCCCAUAGGGGCUAAGCUAGUAGGUGGGGUAAAGGCUCACCUAGGCGACGAUCCCUAGCUGGUCUGAGAGGAUGACCAGCCACACUGGGACUGAGACACGGUCCAGACUCCUACGGGAGGCAGCAGUGGGGAAUAUUGCACAAUGGGCGCAAGCCUGAGGCAGCCAUGCCGCGUGUAUGAAGAAGGCCUUAGGGUUGUAAAGUACUUGCAGCGGGGAGGCGUUACCCGCAGAAGAAGCACCGGCUAACUCCGUGACAGAAGCCGCGGUAAUUC